Molecule: ribosomal RNA, 458 nt
Filed under: uncultured bacterium
Lineage: Bacteria
Description: partial 16S ribosomal RNA
Rfam family: Bacterial small subunit ribosomal RNA
Source: RNAcentral
CCUACGGGUGGCAGCAGUGAGGAAUAUUGGUCAAUGGGCGAGAGCCUGAACCAGCCAAGUCGCGUGAGGGAGUACUGCCCUAUGGGUUGUAAACCUCUUUUGUCGGGGAGCAAAAGCCGGACGUGUCCGGCUGUGAGAGUACCCGAAGAAAAAGCAUCGGCUAACUCCGUGCCAGCAGCCGCGGUAAUACGGAGGAUGCGAGCGUUAUCCGGAUUUAUUGGGUUUAAAGGGUGCGCAGGCGGAUUUUUAAGUCAGCGGUAAAAUCGUGGGGCUCAACCCCAUCCAGCCGUUGAAACUGGGGAUCUAGAGUGUGCGAGAGGUAUGCGGAAUGCGUGGUGUAGCGGUGAAAUGCAUAGAUAUCACGCAGAACCCCGAUUGCGAAGGCAGCAUACCGGUGCACAACUGACGCUCAGGCACGAAAGCGUGGGUAUCGAACAGGAUUAGAUACCCUGGGAGUC